UACGAAGGGGGCUAGCGUUGUUCGGAAUUACUGGGCGUAAAGGGCGCGUAGGCGGUGUGUCAAGUCAGGCGUGAAAGCCCCCGGGCUCAACCUGGGAACAGCGCUUGAGACUGGCACGCUCGAGUUCGGGAGAGGAUGGUGGAAUUCCCAGUGUAGAGGUGAAAAUUCGUAGAUAUUGGGAAGAACACCGAUGGCGAAGGCAGCCAUCUGGACCGACACUGACGCUGAGGCGGCAAAGC
Molecule: ribosomal RNA, 239 nt
Filed under: uncultured bacterium
Lineage: Bacteria
Description: partial 16S ribosomal RNA
Rfam family: Bacterial small subunit ribosomal RNA
Source: RNAcentral